RNAcentral lists this ribosomal RNA (461 nucleotides) under Neogloboquadrina dutertrei. RNAcentral describes it as "bacterial SSU rRNA". It matches the Rfam family "Eukaryotic small subunit ribosomal RNA", at positions 1185 to 1464 of the family's 1831-position model. Lineage: Eukaryota; Foraminifera; Rotaliida; Globorotaliidae. The record is from RNAcentral.
GUGGCUUAAUUUGACUCAACGCGGGAAAUCUUACCGGGUCCGGACACACUGAGGAUUGACAGGCAAUAUCUAAAUCGUUUAUAAUUCCUAUUAUAAUACGCUUUUAGUGUUAAAUAUGCUAGUCCUUUCAUGAUUAUGUGAUAGGUGGUGCAUGGCCGUUCUUAGUUCGUGGAGUGAUCUGUCUGCUUAAUUGCGUUUCACUAAGGGCCCAUAAAUUCAAGGUAUGUUAGCUAUCGUUUCUCAAUUGACCCCUUGUCUUCGAUAAGCGCGUGUCUUUUAGAGUUUAAACAUUGCGCAUGCUGUUGGGUCCUGAAAGCAACGAACGUGACCGCAACGUCUUAUUGCCUUUAUCUUGCUAUAUUUUAAUUUAAUUAAAAAUAGCUAACAGAGGCUAAUUUAAAAUUAGACGGACCGCUGUACUUUUCUUAAACCAGAGGAAGGUUGCGGCAAUAACAGGUCUG